RNAcentral lists this ribosomal RNA (487 nucleotides) under Vibrio diazotrophicus. RNAcentral describes it as "bacterial SSU rRNA". It matches the Rfam family "Bacterial small subunit ribosomal RNA", at positions 945 to 1430 of the family's 1533-position model. Lineage: Bacteria; Pseudomonadati; Pseudomonadota; Gammaproteobacteria; Vibrionales; Vibrionaceae. The record is from RNAcentral.
UUUAAUUUCGAUGCAACGCGAAGAACCUUACUACUCUUGACAUCCAGAGAAUCCUGCGGAGACGCGGGAGUGCCUUCGGGAACUCUGAGACAGGUGCUUGCAUGGCUGUCGUCAGCUCGUGUUGUGAAAUGUUGGGUUAAGUCCCGCAACGAGCGCAACCCUUAUCCUUGUUUGCCAGCGAGUAAUGUCGGGAACUCCAGGGAGACUGCCGGUGAUAAACCGGAGGAAGGUGGGGACGACGUCAAGUCAUCAUGGCCCUUACGAGUAGGGCUACACACGUGCUACAAUGGCGCAUACAGAGGGCAGCGAACUUGCGAGAGUAAGCGAAUCCCAAAAAGUGCGUCGUAGUCCGGAUUGGAGUCUGCAACUCGACUCCAUGAAGUCGGAAUCGCUAGUAAUCGUGAAUCAGAAUGUCACGGUGAAUACGUUCCCGGGCCUUGUACACACCGCCCGUCACACCAUGGGAGUGGGCUGCAAAAGAAGCAGG